This 468-nucleotide ribosomal RNA is filed under the name uncultured bacterium. Its description in RNAcentral is "partial 16S ribosomal RNA". It matches the Rfam family "Bacterial small subunit ribosomal RNA", at positions 28 to 507 of the family's 1533-position model. The record is from RNAcentral.
GACGAACGCUGGCGGCGUGCUUAACACAUGCAAGUCGAACGGAAAGGCCCUGCUUUUGUGGGGUGCUCGAGUGGCGAACGGGUGAGUAACACGUGAGUAACCUGCCCUUGACUUUGGGAUAACUUCAGGAAACUGGGGCUAAUACCGGAUAGGAGCUCCUGCUGCAUGGUGGGGGUUGGAAAGUUUCGGCGGUUGGGGAUGGACGCGCGGCUAAUCAGCUUGUUGGUGGGGUAGUGGCUUACCAAGGCUUUGACGGGUAGCCGGCCUGAGAGGGUGACCGGCCACAUUGGGACUGAGAUACGGCCCAGACUCCUACGGGAGGCAGCAGUGGGGAAUAUUGCACAAUGGGCGGAAGCCUGAUGCAGCAACGCCGCGUGCGGGAUGACGGCCUUCGGGUUGUAAAAAGCUUUCGCCUGUGACGAAGCGUGAGUGACGGUAAUGGGUAAAGAAGCACCGGCUAACUACGUG